UGAAGAAACAUCAUCUGCAGUACAUGGAUGACUGUAACACAGUUCCUGACAGGGAAACCACAUGGAUUUCUUUCAGCUGGUGCCAUUGCUGCCAUAGUAAUAACCAUAUGUUUCAUAGCUGCUGGUGGAGCUGCUGGAGGGUACUAUAUUUACAAAAAGAAAAAUAAGAAAGAUCCCCCGCCACAUAACACAGAACAAGAAGAAAAUACUUAUGAGAAUAUAUGAGGACAUAAAAUAAACUAAAGAUGAUCAGAAAAUCAACACUUGUUAAGUCUUCACCUGCACCAAGAAAAGAAGAUCCCCCACUGCUGUUUUUUUAUUUAUUAUUAUUCCUCUACAUUUCUUUUUCUUAUAAAUUAGUAAAUCACAAUGCAGUGAUACUUUGAGGCCACUAGGUGGAAGAAGAGCACCACAACUGGAUUACAGCUUUAGCAGCCUUGAUAUAUUAUUACUGUGCCUUAUUAAGUUUCAUGCAUAAUGUGUUGGCAAACAUUUGCCAUUUAGACAUUCAGGCAGAGCAACAGUAGCAUUUCUGCUGCAUUUCUUGCCCAACACUAUCUCUCCGUUUAGCUCUGGUUUGAUCAGAGCUAUCAGCUCUUUCUCUAUUAGCUCUUAAACCUGGAAUAACUCAUAAUUAGCAACUUGGGGACAAUGGAAAUAAGUUGUAAAUACAGAACUGAUAUAUCUUUUUAAGUGGAUCUGGCAAAAUUAUCACUCAUUUGAAGUAUAUAUACCUGGCAAAAAAAAGACCAGUAUGCACUUUCCAUUGGGUCUCCACCUACUCGAAGGGGAAAUAUUUCCCUCUGCAGCUAAAUGCUCUACUAUGUCCACCAGAUGGUUGUCCUUUCCCAUAACCCUAACAUUUCCCUUAAAACAGCCGAAAACAAGGUUGAUGAGAGAGAGCACUGAGUGUGAAUCAAAACAGUGCAGUUGCAGGCUGUAAAACCAAUGAUGGAAUGAACUGACAAAUGCUACAAAGCUCUCUAGUUGAGGAGAACUACAGCGUCUGAUGAUAAUUCAGUGUUGACCUCUUUCACAGAGAAGUAGUCAUGUGAUCCAUUUUAAAUGUUAAGCUUGGUAUUUCACCAUGUUCAUCAAAUGACUUGUAUGUUUUUCCUAAUUUGUACACCUAUGCAUACUUAACAAUUUAUACAUACAGUGCAUAUCUAAUGCUUGUUCUUAUCUGUGUGACCACAACUUUGUAAAUACACACCAGGUUUGGAAAAGACACAAUUCAAUUUUUAACAAUAUUUUUGUCUUUAAUAUUUAAUGCUUAUAUGUCAGCUAAUAAUAUUUGCUGUAUUUGUUGGUAACAUAAUUGAAUAUGUACCAGUCUUUCAAAUAUGUGGAAACUGUGGAACUGUGAAAAUGAAAGUGUCAGAUGUUUUUAAAUUAAUAAUUUUUAAAUAAUUUGUUAAUUCAAAAUGUAGCAGACUCAACACCCGAUUUGUCACGUUUGUCCAUUAAGCUUAGAAGAUAAUUAAAUUUGAUCAAAGUUGUAUUCUUGAAUUGACACCUUUGACUUUUCUUCAUGCCAAAAACAAUAUAAACGCCACAGACUUUAGGAUCAGCUUUCCAUGACUUUGCGCCUCCAGCUUUCACUCUUAAUCAAUGGCUAAACUUCAUAGACAACAACUUACCUAUGUCUUUGUCCAAGUAAAUGAAAAUCUUCCUGCAUGUUUUCUUGUAAAAACUGGAUGACAUACAGUAAAUCCUUUGAAUCUACUGAACAAUUUCACUCCAAAAGCUGCAGUAUGCUUCCCCCCUGUGGUGUCAGUGAGGUUGUACUGUCUUGUGGAUAAAGGACAGUGAGCAACGUGGUAUAGAUGUGAUUUACCGAGCAUCCUCCUGGAUAUUUAGUUCCCCCUGAGGCUUGCACAAGGAGGGAGCAGCAGUUCAAGACACAAUCAAAUGUUUUAAUUUGAGUUUAACAAGCAUUUUUAUUAUUUAACAUUUACAGGAGUGCACCAUAAUUUGGUUUAGUUUACAGUAAAUGUUUAAUUGUUAGAUUUGACUUGGACCAAUCUUG
Long non-coding RNA from Seriola dumerili (greater amberjack), 2029 nucleotides. RefSeq lists it as uncharacterized. NCBI's taxonomy places the organism in Eukaryota, Metazoa, Chordata, Actinopteri, Carangiformes, Carangidae. The transcript has 5 exons. The record is from RefSeq and is a predicted model, not a curated record.